GCCAAGAUCGAAAACAGUGGGCUCCAGAUUCAGAAUCUGUCCAGGUCAGGCACAAGCUUUUACCAAGCUGCACUCCUGACUGUAGACAGACGCAGAGGUCAAGAGCUAAGGCCCCUAGACUGUUUUGUGGAUCGAUCUCCACAAACUUCAACCUUGAGGUCCCAGAUGGUCCAGGUGGUGGGAGAGCUGAAACCGAAGGCUCUACGGACUUGCUCCCCUGGCUAGGUCCGUGAAGAUCUGGGGUUCAACCUUGGUCCCCGCGCGCCCCCUGCUGGAUACUGCCUGCAGAGUGCAGAGAAAGGUUACUCCCCCAGAGAAGCCAGGACCUGUUUCUACGCCAUCACUUCUCUUUGCAGCACCGGACUCCAUCACACACCGGCUAUGGGGUCCUGGCUUAACCUCUCUGCAUCUCUAAGAAAUAAAAGACAGAGGAUCCAGAGAUGGGCCAGGGGUUAAGACCACUGGCUGCUCUUGCAGCAGACCUGGGUUGGAUCCCAGCACCCCUAUGACAGCUCACAGCUCUUUGUAACUCUUUGUGGCCUCCCCAGGCAUCAGAUGUAGGUGUGGCACACAGACAGAUCCAUGCAGCCAUUCACCCCUCCUCAUAAAAUAAAAAUAAAUAAAUCUGUAGAAAGAUUA
Rattus norvegicus (Norway rat) is the source of this 639-nucleotide non-coding RNA. Lineage: Eukaryota; Metazoa; Chordata; Mammalia; Rodentia; Muridae. The record is from RefSeq and is a predicted model, not a curated record.